Molecule: long non-coding RNA, 684 nt
Organism: Melanotaenia boesemani (Boeseman's rainbowfish)
Lineage: Eukaryota; Metazoa; Chordata; Actinopteri; Atheriniformes; Melanotaeniidae
Exons: 4
Source: RefSeq, a predicted model, not a curated record
CUUCAGAGGAGGUUCUUCUGAGGCUGCUGCCAGUGGUCAAAGCCUCCAGCAAAGCUCUACUGAGCAGCUGUUCCCUCUCAGAUGAAGGAUGUUCAGCUCUGUCCUCAGCUCUCAGCUCUCCGUCCUCCAGACUGAAGGACCUGGACCUGAGAAUCCAGGACUCAGGACUGAAGAAGCUGUGUGAUGGACUGGAAAACUGGAAACUGGAAACUCUCAGCAGCACAGGGUGCCACAGAUGUGGAAAACAUCCAGUGCCCAGGUCAUCCCACCCCACAGAGUCACUAUUGACCUGUGGCCCUGACACCUCACCUGGCAAAGACUGGAGAGGCUGGUGCUCCAUCCUCUGCAUUCUGUGACAUCCUACCUGAAGAGGCCUUGAAGCACUGUGAGAAUCAUGUUCUAUGAUUUCUCCAGUGCUUUCAACACCAUCCAGACAGAACUCCUGAAGGAUAAGCUGGAUCAUGGUGUGCCAGGACUUCCUGACCAACAGGUCUGUGUGUGAGGUCAAGGGAUUGCGCUUCUGACACUGUGUUCUGCAGCACGGGGACUUCUUAAGGGACAGUUCUGGCUCUGGCUCCUCUCCAUCUACACCACUGACUUCAUUCACCACCAGAUAUAAAAUACCAAGUAAAUACACCAACGCACACACACACAUAUAUAUAUAUAUAUAUAUAUAUAUAUAUA